This 383-nucleotide ribosomal RNA is filed under the name uncultured eukaryote. RNAcentral's name for it is "partial 18S ribosomal RNA". It matches the Rfam family "Eukaryotic small subunit ribosomal RNA", at positions 592 to 976 of the family's 1831-position model. The record is from RNAcentral.
CAAUAGCGUAUAUUAAAGUUGUUGCAGUUAAAAAGCUCGUAGUUGGAUUUCUGGUAGGAGUGACCGUUCCGAACUUGAUUGUUCGUGUAUUGUGUUUUCUCCAGCCAUCCUUGUGGAGAACUUUUCUUGCAUUAAUUUGUAGGGAUUGGGACCCGCAUCGUUUACUGUGAAAAAAUUAGAGUGUUUAAAGCAGGCAAUCGCUUGUAUACAUUAGCAUGGAAUAAUAAGAUAGGACUUUGGUACUAUUUUGUUGGUUUGCAUACCAAAUUAAUGAUCAACAGGAACAGUUUGAGGAUAUUCGUAUGAACAUGUCAGAGGUGAAAUUCUUGGAUUUUGAUCAGACGAACUACUGCGAAAGCAUUUAGCAAGGAUGUUUUCAUUAA